CCGCCUAUAAAUACCUCUCUCCAUUUCCGCUGCAGCCUCCACCGUUUCGUCUCUCUGAAAUGCUGACUGAAACUCGAAGCUUCUCAUGGACUCCAUCACAACAACAAAGCACCCAUUCAGCUCCUUCAUUCUCAGCCCCUUAAACCCACACACUAAACCCUCCUUCACAGCAAAUUUCUCCCGUUUCAAGAAGCUCAGGAAGUCUUUGGUUUGUUUCUCUCAUAGGCCUUGUUCUAAUUCAAAUCCCAGAAACCCAAGAUGGCCAAAGCCCUUGUCUUUUCGCAAGUUUCCCUUAAACCCUAUCUGGGUUUUGUUCCCGGUCCUCCAGAGCAUCAGGGUUUUAGCUUCUUCAAGGACCCAGAAGUGGGCUUCUUUUGUACAGGCUUAUACAGACUCAGGGAGGCUUGUACAUGAAAAAAGCAACGAUUUUUUGCACAACAGUGGGAUUGGGUUAGCUUUGUUAAGCGUGACCACAGAUGCGAAGGUGAAGAUUAGUCCUUUCGUGGCUCAACUGGCUGCGAAUCCGACCUUUGUUUCGGGGAUGUUUGCUUGGUUUAUGGCACAGUCGAUCAAAGUGGUGUUGAAUUUCUUUGUGGAGAGGAAGUGGGAUUUGAGGAUAUUGUAUGCUUCUGGAGGCAUGCCUUCGUCUCAUUCGGCUUUGUGCACUGCUUUGACGACAUCUGUGGCGCUUUGUCAUGGUGUUGCGGACUCAUUGUUUCCGGUUUGUUUGGGGUUUAGCCUCAUUGUUAUGUAUGAUGCUAUUGGGGUUAGGAGACAUGCUGGUAUGCAAGCUGAGGUAAGAAGCAAUUUUCUGUCUUUAUUUGCGUUCUGCUUGAUCUGUUUGGUUUUGGUGUUGCUGAUGUUCAUAACAUUUUGAUUUAUUACUGUGCUGUGACUAUGUUUUGGUUAGUCAGUAAAGUAUCUGUGGGUUGGUAUUCUGAUAAUCUAGAUGAUGGAGUUGGAUUUAUUCGGUUGAAGUUGCUAUAAAAUUCCAAUGACAGUUUCGGUUUGGUUUGGGGUAAAUGGUAUGGAAUAUGACUGUUGUUGUAUAAGCCGAAUAUAUUCUGUAUGUAGUCUGCACCUUGCAUUUGAAGAAUAGUUUUUGGGGCACUGAUAUACCUAUUUCAGUAGUUAGAAGACUUGGGGUGAUAGGUUCAGUCUUUUAGAGGUGGGGUUCGGAUUUGUAUGGAUGUCUUUGAUUUUCAUCCCUGUUUAGUGUUAGGGUAUACCCUGCUUUGGAAUUUCUGCUUUGUUUGAUGUUCAAUGAGGUAUUGUUGUGGCUUUCUUGGCAGAUUGUUAUUAUGAUUGAUUAGUGUAAUAAUGUCUUAUGUAAUCUCUGGAGUCCUGCAACACUGGUAUACUGCAAUUCUAUGAAAGAAUAUGAGAUGGAUGUGCGAUAGUUGGGGUGCUGAAUGUAGUCGUAGAGUACUUAUUCCAAGGGCAUCCAAUCAGCCAAAAGAAGCUCAAGGAACUCCUUGGUCACACCCCCUCCCAGGUUCUUGCUGGAGCUGUCCUCG
This is an RNA transcript of Rosa chinensis, 1517 nucleotides long. RefSeq lists it as uncharacterized. The transcript has 2 exons. NCBI's taxonomy places the organism in Eukaryota, Viridiplantae, Streptophyta, Magnoliopsida, Rosales, Rosaceae. The record is from RefSeq and is a predicted model, not a curated record.